UUCCCCAGUCUGUCUGUCGCUCUUCCCCAGUCUGUCUGUCUGUCUCGCUCUUCCCCAGUCUGUCUGUCUGUCUCGCUCUUCCCAGUCUGUCUGUCUGUCUCGCUCUUCCCCCAUCUGUCUGUCUGUCUCGCUCUUCCCCAGUCUGUCUGUCUGUCUCGCUCUUCCCCAGUCUGUCUGUCUGUCUCUCUCUUCCCCAGUCUGUCUGUCUGUCUCUCUCUUCCCCAGUCUGUCUGUCUGUCUCUCUCUUCCCCAGUCUGUCUGU
This is a long non-coding RNA of Ictalurus punctatus (channel catfish), 262 nucleotides long. The record is from Ensembl. NCBI's taxonomy places the organism in Eukaryota, Metazoa, Chordata, Actinopteri, Siluriformes, Ictaluridae.